This 90-nucleotide transfer RNA is filed under the name Actinomyces sp. RNAcentral describes it as "tRNA-Ser". It matches the Rfam family "tRNA". Rfam says of the family: Transfer RNA (tRNA) molecules are approximately 80 nucleotides in length. Their secondary structure includes four short double-helical elements and three loops (D, anti-codon, and T loops). Further hydrogen bonds mediate the characteristic L-shaped molecular structure. tRNAs have two regions of fundamental functional importance: the anti-codon, which is responsible for specific mRNA codon recognition, and the 3' end, to which the tRNAs corresponding amino acid is attached (by aminoacyl-tRNA synthetases). tRNAs cope with the degeneracy of the genetic code in two manners: having more than one tRNA (with a specific anti-codon) for a particular amino acid; and 'wobble' base-pairing, i.e. permitting non-standard base-pairing at the 3rd anti-codon position. The record is from RNAcentral. Lineage: Bacteria; Bacillati; Actinomycetota; Actinomycetes; Actinomycetales; Actinomycetaceae.
GGAGGGUUGCCAGAGCGGACGAUUGGGCACGCCUGGAGAGCGUGUGUGGGCUCGCGUCCACCGUGGGUUCGAAUCCCACACCCUCCGCCA